Molecule: ribosomal RNA, 386 nt
Filed under: uncultured bacterium
Lineage: Bacteria
Description: bacterial SSU rRNA
Rfam family: Bacterial small subunit ribosomal RNA
Source: RNAcentral
AUUGAACGCUGGCGGCAUGCUUUACACAUGCAAGUCGAGCGGCAGCGCGGGGGCAACUCUGGCGGCGAGCGGCGAACGGGUGAGGAAUACAUCGGAACGUGUCUCGUAAUGGGGGAUAGCCCGGCGAAAGCCGGAUUAAUACCGCAUAUGCUCUACGGAGGAAAGCCGGGGAUCUGUUAAGGGACCUGGCGUUAUGGGAGCGGCCGAUGUCCGAUUAGCUAGUUGGUGGGGAAAGGCUUACCAAGGCGACGAUCGGUAGCUGGUCUGAGAGGAUGAUCAGCCACACUGGGACUGAGACACGGCCCAGACUCCUACGGGAGGCAGCAGUGGGGAAUUUUGGACAAUGGGGCAACCCUGAUCCAGCCAUGCCGCGUGCGGGAAGAAGG